RNAcentral lists this ribosomal RNA (468 nucleotides) under uncultured bacterium. RNAcentral describes it as "partial 16S ribosomal RNA". It matches the Rfam family "Bacterial small subunit ribosomal RNA", at positions 28 to 507 of the family's 1533-position model. The record is from RNAcentral.
GACGAACGCUGGCGGCGUGCUUAACACAUGCAAGUCGAACGGUGAAGCUCCAGCUUGCUGGAGUGGAUCAGUGGCGAACGGGUGAGUAACACGUGAGCAACCUGCCCCUGACUCUGGAAUAAGCGCUGGAAACGGCGUCUAAUACUGGAUACGAGAAGGGUCCGCAUGGGCACUUUCUGGAAAGUUUUUCGGUUGGGGAUGGGCUCGCGGCCUAUCAGCUUGUUGGUGAGGUAAUGGCUCACCAAGGCGACGACGGGUAGCCGGCCUGAGAGGGCGACCGGCCACACUGGGACUGAGAGACGGCCCAGACUCCUACGGGAGGCAGCAGUGGGGAAUAUUGCACAAUGGGCGAAAGCCUGAUGCAGCGACGCCGCGUGAGGGAUGACGGCCUUCGGGUUGUAAACCUCUUUCAGCAGGGAAGAAGCGAAAGUGACGGUACCUGCAGAAGAAGCACCGGCUAACUACGUG